This 516-nucleotide long non-coding RNA is filed under the name Mus caroli (Ryukyu mouse). RNAcentral describes it as "lncRNA (MGP_CAROLIEiJ_G0005843.1)". Lineage: Eukaryota; Metazoa; Chordata; Mammalia; Rodentia; Muridae. The record is from RNAcentral.
CCCUUUGCCCAGUGCUUUAUAGCAUAUCGCCUCUUCUAUGGGGCUCCUCAAGAACUGUAUUCCAGAAAUUCCUGGAAAUGUGUCCUCUUCAGUAGGUGGUGUUUACAUCUUACCAUCUUACUGGACUCUUCCUGUGAGGCUCUUCACAUCCCUUUAAGAAGAGCAGCAUUUCCCUCGUGUGAAUGUAGAGGUAAGCUCAGCUCCCUGUUUGCCGGGAGUAUCUAAAGCAGUGGUUCUUACCCUGUGGGUUGAGACCCUCAGAGGGGUCGCAUCUCAGAUGAUAUCCUGCAGUCAGAGAUCCUGCACAUCAGAGAUCCUGCAAUCAGAGACCCUGCACAUCAGAGAUCCUGCAGUCAGAGAUCCUCCAGUCAGAGAUCCUGCACAUCAGAGACCCUGCACAUCAGAGAUCCUGGCUGAUGCUUACCACAAUGCCAAAGGAACUGUAUUAAAGGGUUGCAGCAUUAGGAAGGUUAAAAAUCACUGGAAAAAGGCAAAUGUCUGAACAAUAACUGUUUG